GGCGGCGUGCUUAACACAUGCAAGUCGAACGAAGAGCGAUGGAAGCUUGCUUCUAUCAAUCUUAGUGGCGAACGGGUGAGUAACGCGUAAUCAACCUGCCCUUCAGAGGGGGACAACAGUUGGAAACGACUGCUAAUACCGCAUACGAUCUAAUCUCGGCAUCGAGGAUAGAUGAAAGGUGGCCUCUACAUGUAAGCUAUCACUGAAGGAGGGGAUUGCGUCUGAUUAGCUAGUUGGAGGGGUAACGGCCCACCAAGGCGAUGAUCAGUAGCCGGUCUGAGAGGAUGAACGGCCACAUUGGGACUGAGACACGGCCCAGACUCCUACGGGAGGCAGCAGUGGGGAAUCUUCCGCAAUGGACGAAAGUCUGACGGAGCAACGCCGCGUGAGUGAUGACGGCCUUCGGGUUGUAAAGCUCUGUUAAUCGGGACGAAAGGCCUUC
This 442-nucleotide ribosomal RNA is filed under the name Veillonella parvula. Its description in RNAcentral is "bacterial SSU rRNA". It matches the Rfam family "Bacterial small subunit ribosomal RNA", at positions 38 to 457 of the family's 1533-position model. Lineage: Bacteria; Bacillati; Bacillota; Negativicutes; Veillonellales; Veillonellaceae. The record is from RNAcentral.